CCCCUGAAUAGCAAAGAGGGGACACUCUCGCCAGAGAGGCGAGGGCCGGAGUGAGGUCAGCUUCGGCAAAUUAUCAACUCGGAUGCACAGACCACAUCCAAGACCU
The submitters of this non-coding RNA (106 nucleotides) gave its source as unclassified sequences. The record is from Rfam.